This 1032-nucleotide ribosomal RNA is filed under the name Triticum aestivum (bread wheat). RNAcentral's name for it is "partial small subunit ribosomal RNA". Lineage: Eukaryota; Viridiplantae; Streptophyta; Magnoliopsida; Poales; Poaceae. The record is from RNAcentral.
AUGGUCGCCUUGGAAUGCACCGCGGCGUGUGCGAGGCAUCCUAAACCGAAUGUCCUGGUGAAAGCGUCAUUGAUUAUGGCCUCUCGCCUAUCCGAUGUCACUACACUUCUUGCUGGACAAGACCCUCUCUCCCCUGCAACCCUCAAGAGCCUUACCGAGUUUCUCAAGCAAGAGCCCGCGAGCUUGGAUGAUCUCACCAACCUAUCACUGUAUCAUCUUUGUGUCAAGGAGAAAAAGAAGAAGAAUAAGAAGAGGAAGAGAAGCCAGCAGACAUCAGAAUCCAUAGAGGGGAAUAGGCCACGGAAGAGGAGGCUUGGGCCUCAGUUGACAUUCAGAUCCACUCUCUCUCUAAAGCUGCUUCUCCUCGGCAAGAUCCAUGGUCACUACUUACAAGCACUUGCCAAUCUGCCUUGGGAUGGCCUGCGCAGGCGUCACCACUGCAGCCUCCUCAAGGGUGGGUAUUGCUAUGGCCCCAGGGAUCCUGUCUCCAACAUCAUCCUCAACACCAUCUGGCAUGGCUCUACGUUCCCUACGCCCCAAAAGUUCGAGCUGCAAUUCAAGGUGGACAUGAUAUGCACACGCAUGCUUGCACGCAUGGAGUGCUGCUCUUUUUACGGCCUCGUUACCUUCCUUCGAACAUGUGCUCCCACCAUCACGGAGCACGACGCUAUCUGGUAUCUUUUCAGGAGCGACGCCGAUGUCCACAAGGCCAUCCGCAAGUUAAAGAAGCAUGGUCAUGCUGUGUGUGACAAUUACCAGGACGCCUAUAGGCAAGCGGCGGUUGUCUCAUGGUAUGUCGACUCUGACGCUCUGGUGAAGUUUGCCACGUCUUCCUUGAACAUGGAGUCCGACAAGCUGCCAGCUAUUUUACAGGGCACACUCACCAAUGAUGUAGUUGAAUGCCUUGCCAUGGCUCUGCCACCUACCAAGUCAGAGGAGCAGACUCAGCAACUGAACUGGGUGACCUCAAGCUCACAUGUCUUGAGCAAAAAACAGAAGAUGUUUAUUUCAGAGUUUUGGAAAAAAAAUUAG